UUCUGCUGGAUUUUACCCCAUUGGCUACCAUUUUGCAGUGUUUUUCCUUUAUAUAAAAGAACCUCAUUAUUUCUAUAUGGUUUCUCAGUUGUUCACAUCUUCCUCAAAUGGACUCUGGCAUAGAGGUAUCCAACUCACAACCUAUGGAUGUGGCCCCAAGAGAUCCAUUUCUUUUUGAGUUUGAUAACACCAACAUAGAGGAAAAAAUAUAGGACAUAGAGUGUAUCUAGGGUCAAAUUGGAGCUUUGUCACUUCAACUUGUGUGAUUGAGGUUAUGUGAUUUCUGAUCAAUACGUUUGAGAUUUCUCAUCUAUAUAAAAUGAGGGGAUGGCACAAGUUGACAUCCAGUGUUACUUCCAAAUCUACAUCAGGGAAACUUCAACUCCUUACAAGACAAAUCAUGUAUUAGUUGUGUUUAAUGUAGAGGAGGAAGCGGUAGAGAGAUGAUACCAUGCCACAUGCACAAAACUUUUAACUUAAUUGACUUCCAUUUCUUGUUUGUUUCUUUUUUUUAACAUAAAAGUCAGGUUAGGUUAUACCUAUUCUCUUCGAUAUAUUCCAACAUAGACAUGUGCCCUAUAAAAAACCAAAGUUCCUUUAACAUAUGGCUUUAUCUUUCUUAUGGAAUUGAAAUUUAUGAAUUGUUAUAGUGUGUUUCUCUUUAGGUAACUUUUUGCAUCAUAAUAGAAUGUAUUUUGUGCUUUAAUUAUUUCCCUCUCAAAUCUUGGAUGAUUCUAGCAAUGUCCAAGGAUACAAUUGGAGGAACUUCUUUUGUUUUAAAAAACAUGAUAAACAAGUACAGAAUGUGCGCAAGCAGGAAGAAACUGACCUAAAGCUGCUGGUGUCUGACUGGACAGAAACUCAAGUUGGCCAUUGGUUAAAGAGUAUUGGAAUGAAAAAAUAUAUCCUGAAAUUUGAUUAUAAAAGAAUAAGAGGUCAAGAACUUCUUGAAUUAGACAAUGAUGCAUUAAAAUGCAUUGGCAUCACUAAGAAGAGAGAUCGCAAGAAAAUCCUUAAGGGAAUUAAGAAAAUUCAACAGACAGAAAAAAAUUAAUACAAUCUAACAAUCAAAUAUAUCAAAAAGAUAAUUCUGGAAGAUACAGCAAAAAUGAGAAAAAUAUAAUUACAUGAUAUUUACCUUUAAUCUACUACUUCAACAUAUUAUUGAAACCUUCUGAUUCUUCUGCCAUGAAUCUAGCACACAUUUACUGAGGAGCAGUGAUGGAUGGAAUGACCAUAUAAGCCAAGAGAUUUUGGUGGACCACUGAUCAAGGUGUUCCAAAGAUGAUCAUUCAUUCACUCAUUUCUGCCUUAGCCUGAAAAAGAGCAUCCUGUUUGUUGCACUCUGGAUUCCUUUUUUAUCUUUGGUCCUAGGCUUUUCAGCCUUUGUCUACCAAUUCUUAUGUUGUGUAUACCUUAGAGAAUAAUUACCAUGAUGUAUAUCCCCAAUUAAUUCACUAUGCAAUUUUGAAAAUAAAAACUCUGUCUGCUCUUUGAUGCCUACCUUCCAUUAGGAGAGAAAGUUGAUUUACCCCAAUCCACAUAGAAUUGGGUCAGAAAAAAGAAUAUCAACGUUUGUUGCCCAAAUAACAAAAAUCAAUCAGUAGAAUUAUAAUCAUAGAAAAAGAAAAAAAGAGCUGCAAUCUCAUAAAACUUUCAUGACUCAUUGACAUUAUAUCUUGUUUUUUUUUUCAGAAAAAUGGUUCAAAUUAUAAGAAAUUUUCAGGAACUACAACUAAAUUGUUAAAUAUACAUAGAGGACAGUAACCUUAUAGAAUAAUUCUUUGACAAGUAAUUAAGAGGUCUGCAAUUUGUUUUAAGUAUAUGCAAUUUUAAACAUUUUAGUGAAUACCUCUGAGAGUCAGUAAAGUCAUCUCUAAAAUGAAAGCAACUACAUUAGUUGAUUGUUUCUAGCUCUAUGGUUGUUUCUAGCUCUCAUCUUAUCAAGAAUGUCUCCAUGCCUCUCUCAGUAUCUAUUUUUACUUCUGCCUUUCUCUGUUUCUUAGAAUAAUUCAAUAAUGAAAACAACAAAGGAACAGGACAUAUUGAAAACAAUGAUUGUUCUAUGUACUGUAUGCCUGGGUCCAAAUGUUGUAUCUGAAGCUUGUUUACUAUCUGUUACAAUGAACUAUCUCCUUGGUUUUUAGUUUCUUCAUAUGUGAAUUGAAAGCAUUGUUUUUGUAGUUGGGAUUCAGCAAUUUCUAACAUAACUUCCUUUAUGACACCAUAACACAAUCAAAAUAAUAAUUAAAGGACUAUAAGCAAAGUACACAAUAAAGGGAGGCCCCUCAAACAACAAAUUAUAUGAUUUAAGUAUAGGGUGAUGGAUAAUGAUGAUAAUAAAAUAGCAUAGCAAAAUUUCUGCAUUGAUGAUGCUUGGAUGAUUCUCACUGAAAAAAUUAUGUCCUAAAAUUGACAGAGAGUUAAGAUGAAGUAAGUGGACAGCACAUUAAAAAUAGAAAAUCAAUACACAUGUUAGCUAAACCUAACAUGUACAAAAACUUUUAAUUAGAAAAGACACAGAGAAACAAAAUGUUCCACAAAGUGGUAAACAAAAUGAAAAACUGAUUCUUCAAAAGUGCCAGAAAAAAGGUUAGAUCUUGAGCCCUAACAAACCAAAAGUGAUGUGGAAUAAAAUGUGAAAUUGAAUAAGAAACAAGAACAGGAAUGUCAGAAGCCAUAAAAAUCAUCCCUAUAUCUCCUUGAUAUUACUUGGUUGUAUCCCAGAUUACCUUUGUUUCCUGCCAAAACAAAUGAAAACCCAAGAGACACAUUACCUACCAGUAACCACAUAAAUGAUCCAAAUGUAUGUAAUACUCUUUACAAAUCUGAAACAAACUAACUCAGAAAAGAGAACUGAUCUCUGGAGAAAGUAACAAAAAAUUAUUAUUUCAAAAAGAGAUCAUUUUUUUCCAUAUGAAUUUUUUUCAGAAAAUAUAGUUUUUCCAGGUAACUUUAGGAAUUAUGAAGCAAGUAAGUUAUAGACUAAUUAAUGCUAUUCAUACAUACUGAUUUUUUAAAAAUAAUAUUUUAUUUGAUCCUUUCCAAGCAUUAUUCAUUAAAGACAAAGAUCAUUUUCUUUUCCUCCCCGCACCCCCCAUAGCCGACACGUGAUUCCAGUGGGUGUCACAUGUGUUCUUGAUUCGAACCCAUUUCCAUAUUGUCAAUAUUUCCAUUAGAGUUUCGUUUAGAGUCUGUCCUCUGUCAUGUCCCCUCAACUGCUGUAGUCAGGAAUUUGCUUUUCCUCGGUGUUUCCACUCCCAUAGUUUAUCCUUUGCUUAUGAAUAGUGUUUUUUCUCCUAGAUCCCUGCAGAUUGUUUCGGGCCAUUACACCACCAGCAAUGGAGACCUCCAUUACAUUCAAUUAUACCACAGUGUAUUAGUCUCUGUGUACAAUGUUCUCCUGGUUCUGCUCCUCUCGCUCUGCAUCACUUCCUGGAGGUUGUUCCAGUCUCCAUGGAAUUCCUCCACUUUAUUAUUCCUUUUUGCACAAUAGUAUUCCAUCACCAACAUAUACCACAAUUUGUUCAGCCAUUCCCCAAUUGAAGGGCAUCCCCUCAUUUUCCAAUUUUUUUUUUCAGAAAAUAUAGU
Molecule: non-coding RNA, 3591 nt
Organism: Monodelphis domestica (gray short-tailed opossum)
Lineage: Eukaryota; Metazoa; Chordata; Mammalia; Didelphimorphia; Didelphidae
Source: RefSeq, a predicted model, not a curated record